UUAAAAUAUGCAUAAAUGGUGUCAUUCACCUUAUAGGAAUGUACUAUAUUGUUAUUAAUCUAAUUCUCAUUUUAAAGAUGUGGAGUCUGAUGCUAAAGUCAUUUGGAAACUAUCAGUUAUAUCUGUGAGAUGUUUUGAAUUUCCCAAAUAAGUGACUAUAUUCUUUAUCGUAGAAAAAAUAUAUGAAUGAAAAUAUAUCUUGUGCCAGUUUCAUAUGUGCUUACAUUUGAAGAAAUGAAGCAAAGUUUUGCAUAUUUAAAGUUACUCUAAUACCAUCCACUUAAAUAUAUGACUAGAAGCAGAAGCAUUUUAAAACAUGAAUCACUUUAAUUCUCUUUCUCUUAAAGAUAUACCAACAAUGAUUAAUAAUAAUAAUAUCAUCUGUCAUUUAUUGAGGUAUCUAUAUCAAUCUGUUUGGUUCCCAGAUCUGUGCUGGGUGGUUUUUAAUUUUAUUUUUGCCGUGUAAUAUACCUUUCCUCAUCUACUGAGGGUAAUUGCAUCUCAUUUUUUCUUUUGGGAUCCACCCUCCUAACCCUCCCAUUUCUGGGUGGAGUUGACCCUCUCAGCUCCAAGGGUUAAGUAUAUAGCCCAGUUCUAGCCAAAAACACUCCUCAGACCUUGCUAAUGGCUUCAGUGGUAGAUCCUGUCAGGGUCCCAAAUUCCAUUUUACUUAACUUACAAGCUAAUAAGAUAGUCUAUUGUCAUCUAUUGUUUCAUGGAUGACAGCAGAAGACGCAGAAUUUCGGGGUCAGAGACAAGAGUUUAUUACUCGUGGUGCAGCCAGUAAGCAUCAUGAUUUGCAUGAGUUCCUUUUGUUUCUGAUUCUCAUAGAGCUGAAACCAUAUGAGCCCAUCUGGACACCGUGUGCCAGUGGGCUUGUGUCACAGCUAAGGAACAAUGAUGGUGGGGAAACCGCCACUUCAGAGCAAGCAAUAAUCAAGACUUCCGUGUUCUUGAAAGAGACUUUAUCUGAUUGCUCACCAUUCUUGCUAACAAUCACCACCUUGAGAAAGAAUCCAGAAGUGUGGUCAGGGCCUUUAUUCUUGGGCAGACUUAGCAACAUAGAUGGAGGAGAUGGACAGUGAGAGACACGGAGUGGUGUCUCACAACCGAUAAACUAUCUCAAACAGUCCAAUUGGAGAGAAUCAUUUUUACUCUUUCCUUUGAAAUUGGAGCCUGGAAAAAUAUCAUGUUUUAUUCUCUGCAGCUGUCUUGUAAUCACAAAGAAAUGGCCUAUCUGGCAAUGGAGUCAACAUGGCAAAAGUCAGAGAUGAGAAAAGAAAACGAAAAAAAAUUAAAAAAAAGUCUUACUGAGUUAUGGAUAAAGCACACCCUGAAGCCAGAUCUUUCUCCUUCCAGAACUUUCAGUUAUGUGAGCUAGUAAGUUUUUGUUCAUUCACAACUUAAAGAGUCCUAAUGGAUUGGGCCCUUGACCAUGCACUGUCUCAUCACAACCUUCAAAAGGAGGUAUUAUUAUCUGAUCUUAUAAGUGAGCAUAACACAUAUCAGGAAGAUUAACUAGCUCAGUAUCACACAGUUAAUAAAGUACAGCUACAUCUACUGAGGCCAGUCUCCAUGCUCUUCAUCCUGAAACCAUAGUUCUCAAACUUAAGUGUACUUUAGAAACACUGAGACUCACCCCAGACCUAAUGAAUCAAAAACUUUAGAGCGGAGCAAAGACAAUAUGCAUUUUUUUUUCCUUUUUUUUUUUUUUUUUUGUCUUUUCAUCUUUAUUUUUUUUUUAUUUUUUUAUUUUUAUUUUUAUUUUUUAUAAACAUAUAUUUUUAUCCCCAGGGGUACAGGUCUGUGAAUCACCAGGUUUACACACUUCACAGCACUCACCAAAGCACAUACCCUCCCCAAUGUCCAUAAUGCAUUUUUUUUUUUUUUAAGUUCUUGGGUGAUUUGAUGCAGGGUUCAUGGACCACUUGUUAAGAAGUAUUUCCCUUGGGCAAAAGUGUGCCUUCCAGGAUACGGCUGUCUGAUGAUCUGAUACUAUAUCCUUAUUAAAAAGCCUUGCUUCUGGAAGAUAACACUUGGAGCCUUGUCAGGGAUAUAAACUGCAAAUCAGAGGAAAUCCUUUUCUGAGAAGAGCUCUAUUGGGAGAAGUGGGAAAAUUCAGGAGAAAAGGCUUCUGAGGUGAGGAUGGAAGGGUUAGGGAAUGGGAACGUAAAAGGCUAGGGGGUCGGACAAAGUUUUGAAGUUCUAUUUCACCAGUUAUUACCUAAGAAAUUCCUUUUUGUCUGAGGUGUGUGUCUGUUUUGGGUUCAGAUCCCACAGAGAGUUUAUGUAUGUAUAAGGAGACUUGGGAGUCUUUUUGAAAAAAGCAUAGAGACAUCUGCUUGAUUUGCUUAUUACAGUGGCUCAUUGGACAUGAAGGAGAAUAUUUAAUUUAAUUAUUUACUUGGAAUAGACAUUUUGCCACUGCUAAUAAUAUUAGCUAGAUUAAUGAAUUGUUCAAGGGUUAUAGAGACAAAGACACAGCCAGUCCCAGAACAGACAUGUAAACCACAUAUGUCAUUGUAAAAUAUUUUCCUAGUUGCCUAUCAUGUCUUGGAUUUUUUCCUCUCCCUUUUUAAAUGUAAAUGGACUGCUGUCUUUUGAUACUCUAGUGUCUCCACAAACCAUCCUCCUCCAAGUGGACUCUGCUCCAUCGUAAAUCUUUCUGUAAUUUUUUAAAGCUGUGAGUACUCCUGAGGUCUUCGCCCAUAGCUGGUCUGGGCCUGUGGGCAAUGAGUAGGGGUGCGGAGUUGAACACACAUGGGGUUAGUAUGCUAGUUAACAACAUUCCGCACCUCUCAUUCCUUUGUUUUAAACUUCUUCUCCACUCAAAACUGCAGAUUUGAAUCACACUGGUUUAAAGAAAUCUUUUUUUUUUUUAUUAUUAAGAAUCUUAAGCUCACUAUUAUUCCAAAGAAUUUUGAGACUAUGCCUAUAGUCUUAGUCUUGAAGAAGUGUAAUAUUUCCAAAUAUUGACUAAUAAGAUUGAGUUUAACAUAGGUUUUGAAAAUAAUUCAGAUCAUUAUCAAAGUGAACAUUUUACCAAAGGACAUCUAUUUUAAAUAAUGGCUCCUUUUUAGAUGUCGCUACCCAACAGUUUGACAAGCAGGUAUUUUGAUAUUUUAGUUUGCACUGGUUACUUCUCUUCACAGGCCUCCUCAACUUUGUCAUCAUUGUAGAGACACAGUCCUUUCCUUUAGAGCUGAAAUCAGAACCUGGACUAUAUCUGUUCAUCCCUAAUACAAAUCCUUUCAUGAAUACAUUCGCUAUAAUAACCUGUCUCUAGAUCUUUAACAAAAUAGUAAAUGAUCACUUACAACAUUAUCUCUGUACCUGCCUUCCUCCAGGGAAACCAUGUAACAAUGUUGAACCCCUCUGCCUUCUUUUAAAGCCAGCGAACUUAAAUGUGCUGAAUGAAAAGGAACGUUUCCAUCGGAAUGUGGGAAAGAGGUUCUCCUUACCUCAAAGAUGUAAUGUUGAGUGCCUAACCUCUCUGCUGUGGUACGUUGGACCAAAGAAGGUGAAGAGCAAGAUUUACAAAGCAACCCCACUACCAAGGUGUUCUUUGGAAGACUGAUAGAAAUAUGAUAUCUCUAAUAUUUAUUUAAAAUAAGUUGGAAAUAUAUCAGGUUUUUUUGUU
Long non-coding RNA from Mustela lutreola (European mink), 3640 nucleotides. RefSeq lists it as uncharacterized. The record is from RefSeq and is a predicted model, not a curated record. Lineage: Eukaryota; Metazoa; Chordata; Mammalia; Carnivora; Mustelidae. The transcript has 2 exons.